AAGGAUUCCCNAGUAGCUGCGAGCGAACAGGGAAAAGCCCAGCACCGAAUCCCGCGGCCGGUCGCGGUCGCAGGGAAAUGUGGUGUUAGGGAGGACGUCAUGUCCCGAGCUCGCGCGGCGCGUCCAAGUCCUUCUUGAACGGGGCCACAGCCCAUAGAGGGUGCCAGGCCCGUAGAGACCGCCGCCGAGAACGGGGUGAUCCCUCCUAAGAGUCGGGUUGCUUGAGAGUGCAGCCCUAAGUGGGUGGUAAACUCCAUCUAAGGCUAAAUACGACCACGAGACCGAUAGCGAACAAGUACCGUGAGGGAAAGUUGAAAAGAACUUUGAAGAGAGAGUUCAAUAGUACGUGAAACCGUUCAGGGGUAAACCUGAGAAGCCCGAAAGGUCGAAAGGGGAGAUUCAUUCGGGUUUCGUGUCGCCGAGUUCGGCGAGGCCGCGUGACGGAAGGCCGCGUGUCUGUCCGCACCUCUCGUCGUUCGUUAGUGGCGAGCGAACCCGUGCACUUCUCCUCGAGUAGGACGUCGCGAUCCGUUAGGUACCGGUCUAAGGCCCGCGGUGGAGCCCGUGCGGACGGUUCUCCGUUUCCCGCUCGGACCCGCGGUGUUCCCGGCCGGCUAACCUGACGGUGUACAGAAGGCGCGGGGCCGCGACUCUUGACAGUUCGCGUCCGGCCCGCAGCAAGCACGUUCGUGCGCGUCCGGCGAACGGAUUCCGUUCCGAUCCCGGCCCACGAUGGCUGUUCGCUGCGGUGUUCUCGGACAGACCUCGUUGAAACGCCGAUCUGCGACGCCGUAGCUUUGGGUACUUUCAGGACCCGUCUUGAAACACGGACCAAGGAGUCUAGCAUGUGCGCGAGUCAUUGGGAAAUUACUAAACCUAAAGGCGCAAUGAAAGUGAAGGUCCGCCGCCCCGUGCGCGCGGACCACGGGAAGAUGGGCGGUCUUCGGGCCGCCCCGCACUCCCGGGGCGUCUCGUUCUCAUUGCGAGAAGAGGCGCACCAAGAGCGUACACGCUGGGACCCGAAAGAUGGUGAACUAUGCCUGGUCAGGACGAAGUCAGGGGAAACCCUGAUGGAGGUCCGUAGCGAUUCUGACGUGCAAAUCGAUCGUCGGAACUGGGUAUAGGGGCGAAAGACUAAUCGAACCAUCUAGUAGCUGGUUCCCUCCGAAGUUUCCCUCAGGAUAGCUGGCGCUCGUUCAAUACGAGUCUCAUCCGGUAAAGCGAAUGAUUAGAGGCAUUGGGGUCGAAACGGCCUCAACYUAUUCUYAAACUUUAAAUGGGUGAGAUCUCCGGCUUGCUCGAACUACUGAAGCCGCGAGAAACGGAUCAGAGUGCCAAGUGGGCCAUUUUUG
RNAcentral lists this ribosomal RNA (1352 nucleotides) under Phycosecis limbata. Its description in RNAcentral is "eukaryotic LSU rRNA". It matches the Rfam family "Eukaryotic large subunit ribosomal RNA", at positions 70 to 1139 of the family's 3401-position model. The record is from RNAcentral. Lineage: Eukaryota; Metazoa; Arthropoda; Insecta; Coleoptera; Phycosecidae.